This 107-nucleotide ribosomal RNA is filed under the name uncultured bacterium. RNAcentral describes it as "partial 16S ribosomal RNA". The record is from RNAcentral.
AAUUAAGGCCCUUCUGGGUUGUAAACUCCUUUUAUCUGGGAAGAAAUGCAUUUUUUCUAAAAUGCUUGACGGUACCAGAGGAAUAAGCACCGGACUAACCUCCGUGC